UAUAUAUAUGAUAAUGAUAUUGUUGAUGGCAAGCAAAGUUUUGUGAUGUUGGUCGAUGAUGAAGCCACAUAAAGAAAUUGGAAAUAAUUAUACAUACUAGAAAACUGGAAGUAAUUAAAAGUUUGUUGGGGGUUUUGUGCUAUUCAUAGUUACAUGCAUUUCAUUUUCAUGGUUGCCUAUAUAAUUAAUUGUAUUUAGUGCUUUCCCUUUUCAUAUUUAUCAAGUCUGGUUACAAUUGAAUUUUUUUCCUUUAAGUUAUUGCCAGCUUUUCACUUUUAGAGACAAACAUUUACAAAUGAUUUUUUUAACUGGGAUUAAAGUUAAAUUAUUAGUUUUACUAUACAAUUCAAUAUUUA
RNAcentral lists this long non-coding RNA (356 nucleotides) under Gossypium barbadense (sea-island cotton). RNAcentral's name for it is "long non-coding RNA (GBAR_LNC020831)". The record is from RNAcentral. Lineage: Eukaryota; Viridiplantae; Streptophyta; Magnoliopsida; Malvales; Malvaceae.